Molecule: ribosomal RNA, 497 nt
Filed under: uncultured bacterium
Lineage: Bacteria
Description: partial 16S ribosomal RNA
Rfam family: Bacterial small subunit ribosomal RNA
Source: RNAcentral
GAUGAACGCUGGCGGCGUGCCUAAUACAUGCAAGUCGAGCGAACAGACGAGGAGCUUGCUCCUCUGACGUUAGCGGCGGACGGGUGAGUAACACGUGGAUAACCUACCUAUAAGACUGGGAUAACUUCGGGAAACCGGAGCUAAUACCGGAUAAUAUAUUGAACCGCAUGGUUCUAUAGUGAAAGACGUUUUUUCUGUCACUUCUAGAUGGAUCCGCGCCGCAUUAGCUAGUUGGUAAGGUAACGGCUUACCAAGGCAACGAUGCGUAGCCGACCUGAGAGGGUGAUCGGCGAAACUGGAACUGAGACACGGAACAGACGCCUACGGGAGGCAGCAGUAGGGAAUAUUCCGCAAUGGGCGAAAGCAUGACGGAGCAACGCAGCGUGAGUGAUGAAGGUCUUAGGAUCGUAAAACUCUGUUAUUAGGGAAGAACAAAUGUGUAAGUAACUAUGCACGUAUUGACGGUAACUAAUCAGAAAGCAACGGCUAACUACGUG